UUUUACGGGGCGUGGGCUGCAUCUGGGCCAGAGGAAAUUGUUUGAGUCGGUUUUCAGUGUGUGUGCCAGUUUUGGGCCGGGGACCCAGCCGGAACUGGGCCAGAAGCUAAGCAAGGUUGUGGCCCAGAGGUGGGCCAGACAAAUCUUGCUAUCUGGGCAGUUCGUCGUCCUUUGGUCAGCGCGACAUUACUUUAUGGAGACGUUGUGAGGACGUCGUGGUAAAGUUCCAUUUUUUAGAAUCUUGACUAACGUUCCAGAAACGUCGUGGGAACGUCCUCAAAAGACGUUGCUUGUUAGUCCUGUGAAGAACGUUGUAGCAACGUGGUCAGCUGGUCUCAUGAUAACUUCUCAUAUUAUUGCACUACAUGUAUUAUCAUGUUAAGAUAACAUUUGGAUAGCCUAUAUUUUGGAAAAUAUACUGAAUUAAUCAAGCAUUUUAAAAGAUGGCAUGAAUUAUUAUAUUUGUAGAUGUAUGUGUCAUCAAAUUAAGGACAAAACAAAAACCAAAUAGUUUGCUUAGCAAAUGGUGAUCAUUGUUAAUUACAUGUUUGUGAAUGACUGAAAAUGAGAUUUAUUGAAAGAGGGCACGGGACAAAUUAACAUUUAAACCAGCAGCGCGCGGCGCGUCACUGUCUGAGUACUGCGCGAGAGUGCGCGUGCCCGUCAUUAACGGUCAACUUCCAGCUGACGGACACGGAGGAAAAGAUUCAAGGGAAAGAUGAAAAAUAAGGAAGUCUGGGAAUGACUGAAGAAGACCGCAGCGAGGGAAGGAAGUAAUCAUCACAAUAUUCCAGUUUGCCAGGAAUCUGGAGUCUCUGACUCUGCACUGAAGGAACUCUUUGCUGAGGAAGACCAAGUGCUGAGGAGGAGCCUUGUUCUACAGCAAAACACUGCAUUAACCCUCCAUGACAAGAUGAAGAGUGAAGAGUUUCCCUCCUGUCCUUCCCUCAGAAGAGCCUGCCUUCUGCUGCUGGGGUAAGAACGACACUCUUCCUCUUCUCUCACAGCCGUCCAGCACCUAACUCUGCCUCCUCAGCACUGUCUGAUAGAGUCUUCUCCACAGUCAGUAAUCAGAGAUCACAGAUUCUCCAGAGAAAGUCAACACGCUCAUUUUCCUAAACAAAAACUGUUUAUGUUUUUGGAGUGGGCCAAAUUAUACAGGAGUGAUGCUAGAAAUCUUUAAAUUGUUCAUUUGACAUAUCUUUACUCUUUAUGAAUGUUAUUUUCUUUAUUUUAUCUUCUGAGAAGCCCAAGAACUAUGGUUCUUUGGUAAUUGUAACAUUGUUUAGGUUUAUCUUCUGAUAGUGAAGCAGUAUUAAAGCACAUCAGCACCAGAUAUUAAUGAAGUAUCUACUGAAUUGUUUCAUAUCUUUUUAUCAUGUCUUUAUUUUUUUGCACCAAAUUAAGGGAGUUGUAUCAAUAAGAGUACUGAUAAUUAUUGAUAAUUUUCACUGAUAACAGCAUUAUUUAACUAUGCCCACCCUUAAUGAGACACAAACUUUUUCAGUUGAUUAUAUGGCAUAGCAAUCUAUGAAUUGAUGUGGUCAGUUUUCUGUGCUCAUGACUUGGUAACACUUUGCAUGGUUAAAGAACAGGUGUAAUGUUCAGAAUGUUUUGGUUUAGUAUUUGUAGAA
Molecule: long non-coding RNA, 1634 nt
Organism: Onychostoma macrolepis
Lineage: Eukaryota; Metazoa; Chordata; Actinopteri; Cypriniformes; Cyprinidae
Exons: 3
Source: RefSeq, a predicted model, not a curated record